GGCUGGUCCGCUACCUCCUUGCUCCCUUCGUCCGGCCCAGGGAAGGGCUCCUCGGGCCACCGCGCGGGGUUGGGGGCAGGACCCUGGCACCCGCACAGCCGCAACCAGGCCGGCAGCUGGUCCUGUGGCCCCUGCUCCGCAUGAAGGAGAGGAGGUGUGAAGAAGCCCCGCGAGCGCCGUCCUCUCCUCUCCCGGCACAGCCCCGCCCCUGGGCUGGCGGGCGGGCGCGGGCUGUGCUUCUUCCUCGGUCACAUCGCAGGAGUCCCGGGGCUGGGCGUGAAAAGAAACACUAGACGCCAGUGAGGUUCAUGGUAAAAUCCUGGGAGCUGUCAGUCUUGCAGCUGGAGUCCCUUGCCGGCAUCCAUAGAGAUGAUGAGUAACUUGGGGUUUUGUUUUGUUGUUUUUUAGACUACCCCAAAGGCUACAGGCCAGUGGACCAUCGCCAGGAAAUCUGAGGUUAAGGUCAAUGUCAGUGAAGCGACUGUCGAUGUUACUUACUGGAGUGGCAACUGGAAUGUCACAAAUGGCAGAAUCCAGGUUGAAUGUGAUGGCUUGUAUCUGGUGUUCCUGCAAGGAGGGCUCAGUUUGGAUAAUAAUGCCUUGCUGACCCUCACAGUUCAUGAUAAAGAGAACAAUACCAUCUUGAAGCUGGAAGAGAAGGAAGAAAGGAAGAUAUAUUUGGUCACAGCAUUACGUCUGCUUAGUCCUAAUAAUAUUUAUCUGAAUGCCAGUGGCCCGGCCAUUCUUCAUCAUUUGUCACUGGGCCUUGUCUUGCUGUCUCCACCCAAUUACUGCACUGACAGAAAAAGGAUUAAAUAUUAACAUGCAAAGAAAGACCCCUUUCUGACAAACUACAAAUCUGAACCCACCACUAGCACAUACACAAGAUUGUAUUCAUUAGGCUAUACAUGUACAAGAAGCCUGAAACUGGGGUCUCAGGCCUGUGCUAUGUCUGAGUGAGAGGGUUCUCCUGGCUAGUGCAAACAAGUCAAUAUGCAAAUAGUCUUUAUUCAAUAUCUGCCAUGUUCAUCUCUUUGGGGCCCACUCCCUGGGAUGGAUCUAUCGGACUUGGGAGAGGGUCCGUGAUACUGUCGAGAAGAAUGAAGGUGAGAGCAUAGAAAGUUAUUGAUGCUUGGUUCAUAGAGGAAUCCUGGCUUCCCUAUUUAUUUGAUGAAAUUUGUAUAUACUUGAAAGGCUUUGCACACUUGCUGGAAAAGGAAUCAGUUGAAUCACAAAUGGACCUGAUAUUUUUACAGUUACCUGAGCAAAGUGGAGAUGAUAGAGAUCCAUGAAACAACUUUUGCCUAGCUGCAAGGAAGAAAAAGAUCCCUUACAGUGAUCCUGAGAGAUGUUUCCUGGAAGCUCAGGAAAUGGAAGAAAAGAGGUGUUUGGAAGUUUAAAAUGGAGACUCGUGGUAAUGAGCACAGAGCUGUUUAAGAAUGGCUUUUCAGACAGAAAGAGACUAUGAGAAAUGCAGUUUCUAAUUAUUUGCAAAUUCUUUGGCAUAAGUGAUGUGGGAAUAUUUGAGACAAUACUAGGAGGGACUGAUGUCAGGAAUUCAAGAUAUCAACUGGAGAAGAAUCCCAGCUUCUCCCUUCUCCUCUUCCAUAUGCAUGCAUACGCAUGCACACAUACACACACAUACUAGGCUUGAACCAAGAUCCAGGUGCCUAAACUUUAGAAGAUGUUGGAAGAAGCUCCUAACCCCUUGCACAGGCUGUCUGGGUUCCAAGGAACAAAUAAAAUCUUUGGUUCUGAAAUCUUCAAAUUUGGGAGGGUUCAAAUUUGUGAAAGUCUAGUCCAGAGAGCCUAUUACAUACAUGCAUACACACACUCCGUUAUGCAGUUGUACACACGGAUCCUGAGCUGACUCCCACUGAAGUCCACAGACAGCCUCUUCCUGAUUUCAGUGGGCUUGUGAUUCCUAUUCUCAUUUGACUAUGAGUGUGGAAGAUAAGGACAGUCUUUCCAGUGUUAAAGUGCCAUAUUUGAUUUGGAUGCAUGUAGUAACCUAGCCUAUUGAAAUGUAAAAACAUUUAUUUUAAGGUGGGUUUGAAUGAGUGAUUUGUUUGCAUCAAUGAGCAGAGCUCUGAUGUAAAUGUGGGGCAGGGGAAAUAUAUAUUGCAGACUUGAGUCUCACCCAUGGGGAGGAGAGGGCUGCAAUGUACCCCUCCCCCCCGGAAUAAGUGAAGACUGAUGAGCUUGCAGGGGGGAGGGAGGGGAAGGGGACAAAACCUAAUUGAGGCUAGAUAUAUUCAGUUAAUAUAUUGUUAUUCUAGGCAUAGAGUGAAAUAGCUUUCAAAGGCAACAAUAAAAGUUAGGCACAUAAUUCCCUAGUGGAAUUAAGCAACUUACUGCUGUUUGUACUUGUGAGCAUCUAUGUUUAAAGUAUUUAUGUAUUUAUAUUACAGGUAUGAAACUGGAUAAUUUUGUAUUUAGUAAAAAAACACUGGGCAGAUUUUAGAUUGCAAGAGAUUUCCCCCUUCUAAACCCUUAUUUGUAGACACUUAAAACCUACAACUUUUCUUUUUCAAACAGAAAGUUUCCAGGCCUGGUCUUUCCCAAACAUGAUUAUAAAGCCUGAACAGAAAUGGUUCAGUUGCUUGUUUGUUUUUGGGUGCAGGGGGGCAUGACAGGGGAACAGGUUUAAAAAUAAACACCUUCAUUGUGAUCCAGCAAUGUAUUAGCAUGUGGGCUGCUUCUGACACGGUGGUCUAGCUGAGGUUGGUAGGAUGACUGCUGUUUAAGAUUAGCCAGGAGUUUCAAUGCUUUGUUGGGCUGGGGCUUAUACCAGUCUUUUCUCCAGUCACAGUGUAUGUAGGGUUUAGGGAAUGGGUGCUGCCUACCUGGUUAGGCAUAUGAGGAAACUCCUUUUUGAAACCCCAUGGAGAUAAUGCAGGACUUGCAGAAGCAUUUUUCCCAAGGCUUCACAAAUUGUCCCUCCAGCAAAUCUGAUGAAUUGUCAGGGCAUUCUGGUAGGAUCCAGUCAGAUAUUUUUCCAGGUACUGACUGAACUCAUGCUAUUGCCUUCUUUGUGAGCAAGGAUUACUUCAAAGCUCUGGCCAGUGAAACUCCUUUUUUCCAUCCUUCAACUGAAAAAAAAGAAAGAGGAAAAAGAAUGAAAUCCUAAGAAAUUUUAUUAACACCUCCCUCCCCACCAAAAAACAUAUUAGGAGAAUGUUAUGAUUACACAGUUGAGUGCUUUUCAGUCAGGGAAUACCACAAAUAAUGUGUAUUCACAACCUCAACUCUGCCCCCUUUGUGCGUUGACAUAAUGAUAAAGUCUUCAGAGUCUAGUCAUACACUGCUUCUCAAACAGUACAGUAAUUCCUACAAUUUCAGAUACUGGGGUGUAUGUUCCAGUGCUCUUUGUAUACCAGAGGAAAGAGUCCAUGAAUGACAUUUAUAUGAAAAGUUUUCAGUGUAGCAAAGCAUAGCAAUGUGAGACAAAAGUGAGAGUAAGCUGACGCUUAUUUGUGUCAAGUUUGCCAAAAAGUUACAUUCUUCCACCAAAAUUCAAUGGAGAAAGUAAGGAUUGCUAGUUGAUUAGAAAAUAUAUUAUUGUUGAGAAAAACUACAAAAAUACGUUCUGCAGAAAAAUGUAAAGGGAAUGGGGCAACCAAAUUGCUCUGUGACAUUAAAAACCUUGGCCACACUAUAGUAGACUAAUAUAACAAAAACUAGUACUGAAAAUACAAAAGAAUGGGGGAAGUAUUACAAGGGAUAGUGCAUCAGUUUGUAGGGAAAAAAACAUUUCUUGUAUUGCUUAAGAAGUGGUAUGUAAUCUUGAAAUUAAAGGUCAUGUCAUAAUGCGUGUAGCUAAGGACACAGAGGUAGGGUUGUGUGAAUAACUUCUGGGUGUGUGGCUAUGUCACCAUAACAUCCUCUUAAUAUCACUUAUUACUUAAAUAAUGCUUGAUGGAGAGAAAGGAGAUUCAGUGAGUCACAGAGUGCGUUGGGUACCUGAGUCAGGUGGAACUAAACCAUCUCCCCGCUGCCUGACCCACCUCCUGAUGCUGAUCUCUGUGAUGCUUUCUGUCCCCCUCCUGCACAGAAAAGGCAAUGCUCCACCUUGAGCUGUCCUAGCUCCCCCCAAAUCCAUUGGGUAGCUUUUUGCCUAUACAAGUUAGUUUUUCAUCCACUUUUUACAGUUCUUACUAGAGUCCCCAAAGUGGCAUUUAGAAUUAAGUUCUAUGCUAAUACAUCCAUGAACUGAGCUGGGUGAACACUUGACCUGUCUAGUGGGUUCAGAUCUGCUAUGCUCUGCUGUCAAAGUAUUGAAAAAGAUCACUGGGUGCAUCUACAUAUGUGCUUUACUGCGGAGUAGACUAUUUAGCUCUGCAGUGAAGUGUCAUCAGCU
This is a long non-coding RNA of Gavialis gangeticus (Gharial), 4360 nucleotides long. RefSeq lists it as uncharacterized. Lineage: Eukaryota; Metazoa; Chordata; Crocodylia; Gavialidae. The record is from RefSeq and is a predicted model, not a curated record. The transcript is spliced from 3 exons.